AUUGAACGCUGGCGGAAUGCUUUACACAUGCAAGUCGAACGAUGAACCUUAGCUUGCUAAGGGGAUUAGUGGCGAACGGGUGAGUAAUAUAUCGGAACGUGCCUUGUAAUGGGGGAUAACUAGUCGAAAGAUUAGCUAAUACCGCAUACGCCCUGAGGGGGAAAGUAGGGGAUCUUCGGACCUUACGUUAUAAGAGCGGCCGAUAUCUGAUUAGCUAGUUGGUGGGGUAAUGGCCUACCAAGGCGACGAUCAGUAGCUGGUCUGAGAGGACGACCAGCCACACUGGAACUGAGACACGUUCCAGCCUCCUACGGGAGGCAGCAGUGGGGAAUUUUGGACCAUGGGCGCAAGCCUGAUCCAGCCAUUCCGCGUGAGUGCAGAAGGCCUUCGGGUUGUAAAGCUCUUUCGCAAGGGAAGAAAACUUACCAUCGAAUAAAUGGUGAGGCUGACGGUACCUUGAUAAGAAGCACCGGCUAACUACGUG
RNAcentral lists this ribosomal RNA (484 nucleotides) under uncultured bacterium. RNAcentral describes it as "partial 16S ribosomal RNA". It matches the Rfam family "Bacterial small subunit ribosomal RNA", at positions 30 to 507 of the family's 1533-position model. The record is from RNAcentral.